UACGUAGGGGGCAAGCGUUGUCCGGAAUUAUUGGGCGUAAAGAGCGUGUAGGCGGUCCGGUAAGUCAGCUGUGAAAGUCAAGGGCUCAACCCUUGAAAGCCGGUUGAUACUGUCGGGCUAGAGUCCGGAAGAGGCGAGUGGAAUUCCCGGUGUAGCGGUGAAAUGCGCAGAUAUCGGGAGGAACACCAAUGGCGAAGGCAGCUCGCUGGGACGGUACUGACGCUGAGGCGCGAAAGCCAGGGGAGCGAACGGG
This 253-nucleotide ribosomal RNA is filed under the name uncultured bacterium. RNAcentral's name for it is "partial 16S ribosomal RNA". It matches the Rfam family "Bacterial small subunit ribosomal RNA", at positions 524 to 776 of the family's 1533-position model. The record is from RNAcentral.